Molecule: ribosomal RNA, 260 nt
Filed under: uncultured bacterium
Lineage: Bacteria
Description: partial small subunit ribosomal RNA
Rfam family: Bacterial small subunit ribosomal RNA
Source: RNAcentral
AGGACGAACGCUGGCGGCGUGCUUAACACAUGCAAGUCGAGCGGUAAGGCCUCCUUCGGGGGGUACACGAGCGGCGAACGGGUGAGUAACACGUGGGUGACCUGCCCUCAGCUCUGGGAUAAGCCUGGGAAAACCGGGUCUAAUACCGGAUAGGACUGCUUGCCGCAUGGUGGGUGGUGGAAAGUUUUUUCGGCUGGGGAUGGGCCCGCGGCCUAUCAGCUUGUUGGUGGGGUGAUGGCCUACCAAGGCGGUGACGGGUA